This 492-nucleotide ribosomal RNA is filed under the name uncultured bacterium. Its description in RNAcentral is "partial 16S ribosomal RNA". It matches the Rfam family "Bacterial small subunit ribosomal RNA", at positions 29 to 507 of the family's 1533-position model. The record is from RNAcentral.
AUUGAACGCUGGCGGCAUGCUUUACACAUGCAAGUCGAACGGUAACAGGCCUUCGGGUGCUGACGAGUGGCGAACGGGUGAGUAAUGCAUCGGAACGUACCCAGAGGUGGGGGAUAACGCAGCGAAAGCUGUGCUAAUACCGCAUGUGAUCUGAGGAUGAAAGCGGGGGACCGAGCAGCAAUGUUUGGCCUCGCGCCUUUGGAGCGGCCGAUGUCGGAUUAGCUAGUUGGUGGGGUAAGGGCCUACCAAGGCGACGAUCCGUAGCUGGUCUGAGAGGACGACCAGCCACACUGGGACUGAGACACGGCCCAGACUCCUACGGGAGGCAGCAGUGGGGAAUUUUGGACAAUGGGCGCAAGCCUGAUCCAGCAAUGCCGCGUGCGGGAAGAAGGCCUUCGGGUUGUAAACCGCUUUUGGCAGGAACGAAACGGUGUGCGCUAAUACCGGGCGCUAAUGACGGUACCUGCAGAAUAAGCACCGGCUAACUACGUG